RNAcentral lists this ribosomal RNA (467 nucleotides) under uncultured bacterium. Its description in RNAcentral is "partial 16S ribosomal RNA". It matches the Rfam family "Bacterial small subunit ribosomal RNA", at positions 28 to 507 of the family's 1533-position model. The record is from RNAcentral.
GACGAACGCUGGCGGCGUGCUUAACACAUGCAAGUCGAACGGAAAGGCCUCUUUCGGGGGGUACACGAGUGGCGAACGGGUGAGUAACACGUGAGUAACCUGCCCUUGACUUUGGGAUAACUUCAGGAAACUGGGGCUAAUACCGGAUAGGAGCUCCUGCUGCAUGGUGGGGGUUGGAAAGUUUCGGCGGUUGGGGAUGGACUCGCGGCUUAUCAGCUUGUUGGUGGGGUAGUGGCUUACCAAGGCUUUGACGGGUAGCCGGCCUGAGAGGGUGACCGGCCACAUUGGGACUGAGAUACGGCCCAGACUCCUACGGGAGGCAGCAGUGGGGAAUAUUGCACAAUGGGUGGAAGCCUGAUGCAGCAACGCCGUGUGCGGGAUGACGGCCUUCGGGUUGUAAACCGCUUUCGCUCAUGACGAAGCUUUGUGUGACGGUAGUGGGUAAAGAAGCACCGGCUAACUACGUG